UGAGGAAUAUUGGACAAUGGGCGCAAGCCUGAUCCAGCCAUGCCGCGUGCAGGAUGACGGUCCUAUGGAUUGUAAACUGCUUUUAUACGAGAAGAAACACUCCUUCGUGAGGGAGCUUGACGGUAUCGUAAGAAUAAGGAUCGGCUAACUCCGUG
This 155-nucleotide ribosomal RNA is filed under the name Flavobacterium sp. Fresh_FYM(1a). RNAcentral describes it as "partial 16S ribosomal RNA". It matches the Rfam family "Bacterial small subunit ribosomal RNA", at positions 355 to 507 of the family's 1533-position model. The record is from RNAcentral. Lineage: Bacteria; Pseudomonadati; Bacteroidota; Flavobacteriia; Flavobacteriales; Flavobacteriaceae.